CUCCAGUCAACCCCUCCCCAGCCGACUCCUCCACCACAGAGCCCUCAGAGCUCAUCACUCUCAAAACCUCCUUCUUCACACCCUUCUCUUUCUCUAACACCUCUGCUCUGAAAGGAUCAGAUACAACCAUGGCCUCCAAAAUCUGCACCUCUGCAGGCUCAGCUGCCACUCAGCACUGAAACCACAGAGCAUUCAUUCCUGCUCUGUCUCAAAUAGACAGCAUUACCAGAUGAGGUGCAUCCAAUUGUUUUAUCAAAUGAUGAAGAUGACUUUUGUGAAGAGGCAUAUCACAUAUCUAGCAUCAUUAUCAGUAUAUCAACAUUGCUAAGAGCACUACUAUCUAUCCAAAAGCAAAUUUGAAGAAAAAGAAAAAGAAAAUAAGAAUUAAAGAGGAUUACUCACAGAUUUGCAGAAUUUUUCUGCAGAGACACAAGCCUCACAAUGCUUCUGAGCAUUUGAUCUCAACACACAUCAAAAAUCGACAUUCUCAAGUCUAGAAACACAACAUUCACACAGAAUUCAACUGUUGUGCAUCAUAUGAUUAGGGCUAAACCUAGGACAAUAUAACAAGUGAACAGUGAAUGGUGCUAUAUGGAAAUGAGCUAGUGGUGCACAUGACCACACUAAUAACACCACUGACAAGGAACACCAACAAUAAUACACAAUAAGUGCCCAAGAAACAACUUACUUAAAAUUGAAAUAAUUGAGAGAGCUCAUUUCAAUAAAAAAAGAGGGGGGGGAGGGAGAAUGAUGAUAUAAAAAAAUUUAAAAAUUUUUUUGAGAACAAGAAAUUGCAGCAGAAGAGACAAGGAGCUUUGAUGAUGAUCAAGUUAAAAAAGAAGAGAAAUCUUCAAGAGG
This 858-nucleotide small RNA is filed under the name Histoplasma ohiense. RNAcentral describes it as "hypothetical lncRNA". Lineage: Eukaryota; Fungi; Ascomycota; Eurotiomycetes; Onygenales; Ajellomycetaceae. The record is from RNAcentral.